AGGACGAACGCUGGCGGCGUGCUUAACACAUGCAAGUGGAGCGACGAACCAGGGCUUGCCCUGGGGCAGAGCCGCGAACGGGUGAGUAACACGUGGGUUACCUGCCUCGAUGACCGGGACAACCCGAGGAAACUCGGGCUAAUACCGGAUGUGCCCGCAAGGGGAAAGGAAGCUUCGGCCUCCGCAUCGAGAUGGGCCCGCGGCCCAUUAGCUUGUUGGUGAGGUAACGGCUCACCAAGGCUUCGAUGGGUAGCUGGUCUGAGAGGACGAUCAGCCACACUGGGACUGAGACACGGCCCAGACUCCUACGGGAGGCAGCAGUGGGGAAUCUUGCGCAAUGCGCGAAAGCGUGACGCAGCAACGCCGCGUGGGGGAAGAAGGCUUUCGGGUUGUAAACCCCUUUCAGUUGGGACGAAGCUUCGCCGGUGAAUAGCCGGCCGGAGUGACGGUACCUUCACAAGAAGCACCGGCUAACUACGUGCCAGCAGCCGC
RNAcentral lists this ribosomal RNA (492 nucleotides) under uncultured bacterium. RNAcentral describes it as "SSU rRNA". It matches the Rfam family "Bacterial small subunit ribosomal RNA", at positions 26 to 518 of the family's 1533-position model. The record is from RNAcentral.